This 465-nucleotide ribosomal RNA is filed under the name Vreelandella stevensii. Its description in RNAcentral is "partial 16S ribosomal RNA". It matches the Rfam family "Bacterial small subunit ribosomal RNA", at positions 338 to 795 of the family's 1533-position model. The record is from RNAcentral. Lineage: Bacteria; Pseudomonadati; Pseudomonadota; Gammaproteobacteria; Oceanospirillales; Halomonadaceae.
CCUACGAGCGGCAGCAGUGGGGAAUAUUGGACAAUGGGGGGAACCCUGAUCCAGCCAUGCCGCGUGUGUGAAGAAGGCCCUCGGGUUGUAAAGCACUUUCAGUGAGGAAGAACGCCUGGUGGUUAAUACCCAUCAGGAAAGACAUCACUCACAGAAGAAGCACCGGCUAACUCCGUGCCAGCAGCCGCGGUAAUACGGAGGGUGCGAGCGUUAAUCGGAAUUACUGGGCGUAAAGCGCGCGUAGGUGGCUUGAUAAGCCGGUUGUGAAAGCCCCGGGCUCAACCUGGGAACGGCAUCCGGAACUGUCAAGCUAGAGUGCAGGAGAGGAAGGUAGAAUUCCCGGUGUAGCGGUGAAAUGCGUAGAGAUCGGGAGGAAUACCAGUGGCGAAGGCGGCCUUCUGGACUGACACUGACACUGAGGUGCGAAAGCGUGGGUAGCAAACAGGAUUAGAUACCCUAGUAGUC